CCAGACUCCUACGGGAGGCAGCAGUGAGGAAUAUUGGUCAAUGGGCGAGAGCCUGAACCAGCCAAGUAGCGUGCAGGAUGACGGCCCUAUGGGUUGUAAACUGCUUUUAUAAGGGAAUAAAGUGAGUCUCGUGAGGCUUUUUGCAUGUACCUUAUGAAUAAGGACCGGCUAAUUCCGUGC
Molecule: ribosomal RNA, 180 nt
Filed under: uncultured bacterium
Lineage: Bacteria
Description: partial 16S ribosomal RNA
Rfam family: Bacterial small subunit ribosomal RNA
Source: RNAcentral